Molecule: ribosomal RNA, 383 nt
Filed under: uncultured eukaryote
Lineage: Eukaryota
Description: partial 18S ribosomal RNA
Rfam family: Eukaryotic small subunit ribosomal RNA
Source: RNAcentral
CAAUAGCGUAUAUUAAUGUUGUUGCAGUUAAAAAGCUCGUAGUUGGAUCUCUGGCUUUGUUCGGACGGCCCGCCUUCGGGUUGAGUGCUGGAAGAACUAGCCUAUUUUCCGGUUGGCGUCCUUUCUCUUUCUUUGAGCGAGGUUCGCGAUCCGGAUCGGUUACUUUGAAGAAAUUUGAGUGUUCAAAGCAGGCUUACGCCGUGAAAAUUGUAGCAUGGAAUAACAAGAUAGGGCUGUCGUGUUCCAUUUUGUUGGUUCUGGGACCGUAGUAAUGAUUGAUAGGGACAGUUGGGGGUGCUGCUAUUCCGCGGCCAGAGGUGAAAUUCUCAGAUUCCCGGAAGAGCAACUUAUGCGAAAGCAUUCACCAAGGAUGUCUUCUUUAA